Long non-coding RNA from Mus musculus (house mouse), 297 nucleotides. RefSeq annotates it as predicted gene, 46579. The transcript is spliced from 3 exons. The record is from RefSeq and is a predicted model, not a curated record. Lineage: Eukaryota; Metazoa; Chordata; Mammalia; Rodentia; Muridae.
AGGACCCUGAGAAAGCCAUCCAGAUCUCAGCGUCAGCUACUCUAGAAAGGGAGCCCCAUCGUGUCCCAGGAAGCCAGCACAGCCAUGCCGGGGCUCAAAAAGAGCCAGGCACACCCAGACAGACCCAAGCAAGCCUGGCCUGCAGUGCCUCUUGGGGAACACAAACAAAGGAGUUUGGGUCCAUGCAAUCCAAGGUUCUGGAGAUACCUGGAAGGAGGGGGUCUCUGGUAGAUCACAAGACCCCACGGCCACUGGACACCCCCUGCAGAAAAGGAGAAAGGCUGUGGAUGGAGACUG